Molecule: non-coding RNA, 64 nt
Organism: Gossypium raimondii (Peruvian cotton)
Lineage: Eukaryota; Viridiplantae; Streptophyta; Magnoliopsida; Malvales; Malvaceae
Source: Rfam
AAGGAUGUAGCACUGCGUUUGUUUUGGGUACAAAUUGUCACUGGUUCAAAUCUUAUCAUCUUUA